CCUACGGGGGGCUGCAGUGGGGAAUAUUGGACAAUGGGGGGAACCCUGAUCCAGCCAUGCCGCGUGUGUGAAGAAGGCCCUCGGGUUGUAAAGCACUUUCAGUGAGGAAGAACGCCUGGUGGUUAAUACCCAUCAGGAAAGACAUCACUCACAGAAGAAGCACCGGCUAACUCCGUGCCAGCAGCCGCGGUAAUACGGAGGGUGCGAGCGUUAAUCGGAAUUACUGGGCGUAAAGCGCGCGUAGGUGGCUUGAUAAGCCGGUUGUGAAAGCCCCGGGCUCAACCUGGGAACGGCAUCCGGAACUGUCAAGCUAGAGUGCAGGAGAGGAAGGUAGAAUUCCCGGUGUAGCGGUGAAAUGCGUAGAGAUCGGGAGGAAUACCAGUGGUGAAGGCGGCCUUCUGGACUGACACUGACACUGAGGUGCGAAAGCGUGGGUAGCAAACAGGAUUAGAUACCCCAGUAGUC
Molecule: ribosomal RNA, 465 nt
Filed under: Vreelandella stevensii
Lineage: Bacteria; Pseudomonadati; Pseudomonadota; Gammaproteobacteria; Oceanospirillales; Halomonadaceae
Description: partial 16S ribosomal RNA
Rfam family: Bacterial small subunit ribosomal RNA
Source: RNAcentral